This is a long non-coding RNA of Photinus pyralis (common eastern firefly), 550 nucleotides long. RefSeq lists it as uncharacterized. The transcript has 3 exons. Lineage: Eukaryota; Metazoa; Arthropoda; Insecta; Coleoptera; Lampyridae. The record is from RefSeq and is a predicted model, not a curated record.
GGUUAAUUGGGGAUUACGCAUUAAUUUGUGAAAGUAAUUUCACCCCUUCACACUAAUAGGAGGAUAUUGUUGCGUUAUUCUUCUUCAUUGUUCCCGCUGAUAAUUAAUACGAUUUUCUCUCUCGUUUGAAUCGUAAUAACUGUGUAAAGAAUCAGUUUGGAGACGUCUUACAUAGAAAGUUGGGGUAACCUUGGCUUAAAUUUAUCAUCUACCUGCGAGUACCAACACCUGUGGACAUAUCCACAUCUGAUAAGAAGCGGCCAUUUUGUGAACUGGGUCACCCUGAUUAUGAGCGCAAUUUGAUCACAGGAUUCGAUCAACAACAAGGAGACAACUUCCGUAAUCUUUACCUACGUAUUCAUUAUUUUAUGGUGAACUUUUUCACGCGAAUGUUAUGGUAGCCCGCCACUUCCUUCUGGAGAGAUUGAUCGAAAAAGUAUUGUAGUUGCGAGCUUACUACUAGUAAGGCGAGGCUCUUCAGGAAUUGAUCAGUUCAUUGCAUUCCAAGCUCUGCGGAUUGGGAGUUUUCUUUUGUUGCAGAUUUUAUGAA